CAACUCCCACCCCACGCACUCAGAAAAUCGCGACCGCAGCGCCCCCCCUCCGAUCCCAUCCCCGAGCCGCCGCCACUCGCAUCGUUCCCGCAGCCCCCUCUGGCCCUCUCCUCCUCCGUCGCGCCGCCCCGCCCCUGCUCUCCUCCGCCCCUCGCCUCCCCUCUGCCCCCCAUAUCCGGCUCUCUCCGCGCGAGCUCGCCAACGGGCGCCGUGGCCCCUGCAGGUUGCUGCCCAAGCUCUCCUCCGCAGCACCGUCGACCUCCCCCCUUCCUCGUGCCACCCUACUCCCAGCCUCAGAUCUGCGGCGGCAGGGUGCGCGCUUGGCGGCUGCGGCACCGUGCGGGCGGGGCAGCGGCAGGGUGCCACCGUAAGAAUGAUGCUAGAGAGUGAAUUGACAAGCCUGAAGAGAUACAGACACUCUGUAAGGCACUACUUUAUUGCAAUCAUUUGUUCUUUUUAGGGCCCCUAUACGUGUACUGCAAUUUAGGGGUAGUUUUAAUUUUGCUGUCAAAUCUCAAAUGUAGAUUGAUCUUGUCAGACCUGGAGAUAUUUAAAAGCUAAAAGUAGUUGCAAUACUUGUAUAUAUUUUCUGAAUAAUUAUGUUGGACAAACACUGUUUUCGUUUGAUACAUCAACUGCAGAGGUGGAUGUCAAAUCUUUUCUAGCAAUAGCUCAAGUUUAGCUUCCAUCUAUAAAUGUAAGUUGCGACUAAGUCGUUGAAUGCUAAAAGUCUGUACACACUUUACCUCUUUGUAUCAUUUGCGAGUUGAUUGUUGUACAGUGCAGAACGGAUAAUUCACCGUGUAUUUUUUCAGAAAUAUAUGCCUCAAGUCAGCAUGUGUAUUGUGUACGAAAUUAACUCUCCUUUUUGGACAUAAGGAAUUUAGCUUGGGAACAAUGCUAUGAUCCAUCUUUGUAUGCUAGAAUAAUACAUAGUAGAAUGUACAAAAAUGUGGGUUCUGUUUGGAUAACUACAUGUGUAAUACUUUGGAUAACCAUAAAUCAAUAUCUUUAUUUUUCUAUGUCUAGCUCAUGUGGUUUCACUGAAUCAUAAUGGUUCAGAAUUAGUAACACAUGUAAAUAGCUACCACAUAUUUCAGGUUAGUGUGUCAGUUUGAUUGAUUAAUUUUGUGAAAUUGUAUUGAAGUUAACUCUUCAUAUAUCGACUUGUAGGAUUGUCAGUGCUUAUUGUAGAUUGCAUAUUUAUGAAUUAUGACUAUGCUCACUUGAGAAAACUAAUUUUUUUUCAUUUACCAUCUACUCCACUUGUGUAGAAAACAUAGUACAGAUGAUGUGGUUUGGGGUAUCAUGGGGGUGGCUGAACUAAUGUCUCCCAGUCCUGGAAAUUUGUUUAGAUAGGGUUGUGAUGUAUGGAGGACCAUAUGCAUGUAAAUUGAACUGAUUCAGUUUGUUGGUUACAUAAUCUGGAAGCUGAAUGUUUGAUUUUCUAGCACAAGUCUGAACUGAAUGGUAGUAACUCUGACUACGCAUUGGCUUUUCUGAGAAAUAUUUGACGUAACAGGACUGAUUUAUUAAUUUUUCUCAUCAUCGAUGCACAUGCUGGAUGGCUUCACUAGACAUAGAAACACCUGUGUUUGUUUGAGGUACAUCAAUAUUACAUCAUGCUUUAAAUAUCUUUACAGUAGUCGGAUACCAAAGACAUAACCUUGCAUAUUCAGAUGCAAUAUAUUUGGGCAAGUUUAUGGAUUUUGUGGCUCAAGAACAGCACAGUAGUCGGAAUUUGAUUUAUUUUGUGGCCAAAGACAUAACCUUGCAUAUUCAGACGCGAUCGGCGGGCGCCCACAACUGGAAUCAAAGUACUGCCCUAAAAAUAUCUUUACAGUAACCUUGGCCUGAACUACAAAGACAUCUAAGCAGAAGGUUAAAAGGGAUUUUGAAGCUUAUGAGCAAAGGGUAAGUAUACAUGGCAAAUACCAGUGCAGGUGAAGUGAUUCUUCAUUGGUAAGGUUUUCAAUUGUUAUAAAAUUGGUAAACCAUCAUGGGUUAACAUUUCUAUAGGGCAUUGAAGUGAAGGACAACGGAUUUUGAUGGCCGUGCGGUCUUAUCCCAAUAUGGUCAAUACUGGCAUAACAGUUGGCUCUUCCUCUGUCUGUAGGCAACACGCCAACGGCACGUAGGCGUCAGCAGAUUCAUGUAUCAUAUGCCUAGGAGGUACAUGUGUUGUUGUCCCUGUUGGUGUUGAUGGACCACGGUGGUGUUCCCCGCUGAGCUCCGCCAUCCGAUGCAUGCCCCUCGCCAAUCUCUUCGGACAAACUCGCCAUCGACAUCUCCUUUUUCCUUUUUUUGUGAUAUUUUCCCUUUUGAUGUUUUUUGUUUACAUAUUUAGGAAUAUACGAAUAUAGAAUUGCUUAGUGUUUAUGAAAAAAUUGUGCUAUUGUGUCUGUUUUAUAUUAUUGUGGAGUGACUGUUAUCAAAGGAGUUGGGAUUAUUGUGUGGUUAUCUGGAAGAGCUAAUGUUGUACUAUACAACUUUAGCAAUACAUGUGUAAAUCGGUUGCCUUAAAAAUGGACUUUUAUUCCUAAA
Brachypodium distachyon (stiff brome) is the source of this 2544-nucleotide long non-coding RNA. RefSeq lists it as uncharacterized. Lineage: Eukaryota; Viridiplantae; Streptophyta; Magnoliopsida; Poales; Poaceae. The transcript is spliced from 4 exons. The record is from RefSeq and is a predicted model, not a curated record.